GCCUCCCAACUCUUCGGAGACAUCCGAUAAAAUUGGAAGGAUACAUAGAAGAUUAUCAUGGUCGGUACGUGCGAGGAUGACAUCUACAAAUCGAGAAAUAGUCCAAAUUUUU
RNAcentral lists this small nuclear RNA (112 nucleotides) under Dichanthelium oligosanthes. The record is from RNAcentral. Lineage: Eukaryota; Viridiplantae; Streptophyta; Magnoliopsida; Poales; Poaceae.